UUCAAUUUAUUUAUUUCAUUACAUGUAUUUCCCACCUUUCCUUCAAGGAGCUCAAGGCCGUGUGAGCACUUCUUCCUGUCAAGGUUAUGUGACGAGAGUCCUAGUGCAAGAAUCUAACAGGCACACCAUACUGGCUCUUGAUGGGGUCCACUGGCAGCUGUUGUUGUGCCUUCAAGUCUAUUUCGACUUAUGGUGAUCCUAUGAAUCAGCAACCUCCAAGAGCAACUGUUAUAAACCACCCUGUUCAGAUCUUGCUAGGAAAGUUGCAAAAGCCUCUGCACUGAGAUACUACAAUGAAUCUUGGUAUGUAU
Rhineura floridana is the source of this 311-nucleotide long non-coding RNA. RefSeq lists it as uncharacterized. The record is from RefSeq and is a predicted model, not a curated record. Lineage: Eukaryota; Metazoa; Chordata; Lepidosauria; Squamata; Rhineuridae. The transcript is spliced from 3 exons.